GACGAACGCUGGCGGCGUGCCUAAUACAUGCAAGUCGAGCGGACGGAUGGGAGCUUGCUCCCAGACCGUCAGCGGCGGACGGGUGAGUAACACGUGGGCAACCUGCCUGUAAGACUGGGAUAACUCCGGGAAACCGGGGCUAAUACCGGAUAACUCUUUCCCUCACAUGAGGGAAAGCUGAAAGAUGGCAUCUCGCUAUCACUUACAGAUGGGCCCGCGGCGCAUUAGCUAGUUGGUGAGGUAACGGCUCACCAAGGCGACGAUGCGUAGCCGACCUGAGAGGGUGAUCGGCCACACUGGGACUGAGACACGGCCCAGACUCCUACGGGAGGCAGCAGUAGGGAAUCUUCCGCGAUGGACGAAAGUCUGACGGAGCAACGCCGCGUGAGUGAUGAAGGUUUUCGGAUCGUAAAACUCUGUUGUCAGGGAAGAACAAGUACCGGAGUAACUGCCGGUACCUUGACGGUACCUGACCAGAAAGCCACGGCUAACUACGUG
This 498-nucleotide ribosomal RNA is filed under the name uncultured bacterium. RNAcentral's name for it is "partial 16S ribosomal RNA". It matches the Rfam family "Bacterial small subunit ribosomal RNA", at positions 28 to 507 of the family's 1533-position model. The record is from RNAcentral.